UACGUAGGGUGCAAGCGUUGUCCGGAAUUAUUGGGCGUAAAGAGCUCGUAGGCGGCUUGUCACGUCUGCUGUGAAAACUCGGGGCUCAACCCCGAGCCUGCAGUGGAUACGGGCUAGCUAGAGUGCGGUAGGGGAGACUGGAAUUCCUGGUGUAGCGGUGAAAUGCGCAGAUAUCAGGAGGAACACCGGUGGCGAAGGCGGGUCUCUGGGCCUUACCUGACGCUGAGGAGCGAAAGCGUGGGGAGCGAACAGG
Molecule: ribosomal RNA, 253 nt
Filed under: uncultured bacterium
Lineage: Bacteria
Description: partial 16S ribosomal RNA
Rfam family: Bacterial small subunit ribosomal RNA
Source: RNAcentral